GCGGAUGUAGUUUAGUGGUAAAACUCCAGCUUCCCAAGCUGGCAUUGCGAGUUCGAUUCUCGUCAUCCGCUCCA
RNAcentral lists this transfer RNA (74 nucleotides) under Candidatus Allocopromorpha excrementavium. Its description in RNAcentral is "tRNA-Gly". It matches the Rfam family "tRNA". Rfam says of the family: Transfer RNA (tRNA) molecules are approximately 80 nucleotides in length. Their secondary structure includes four short double-helical elements and three loops (D, anti-codon, and T loops). Further hydrogen bonds mediate the characteristic L-shaped molecular structure. tRNAs have two regions of fundamental functional importance: the anti-codon, which is responsible for specific mRNA codon recognition, and the 3' end, to which the tRNAs corresponding amino acid is attached (by aminoacyl-tRNA synthetases). tRNAs cope with the degeneracy of the genetic code in two manners: having more than one tRNA (with a specific anti-codon) for a particular amino acid; and 'wobble' base-pairing, i.e. permitting non-standard base-pairing at the 3rd anti-codon position. RNAcentral also lists the same sequence under 1 other name. The record is from RNAcentral. Lineage: Bacteria; Bacillati; Bacillota; Clostridia; Eubacteriales; Eubacteriaceae.